UGGGGAAUAUUGCACAAUGGGCGCAAGCCUGAUGCAGCCAUGCCGCGUGUGUGAAGAAGGCCUUUGGGAUGUAAAGUACUUUCAGCGGGGAGGAAGGCGGUGAGGUUAAUAACCUCAUCGAUUGACGUUACCCGCAGAAGAAGCACCGGCUAACUCCGUGCCAGCAGCCGCGGUAAUACGGAGGGUGCAAGCGUUAAUCGGAAUUACUGGGCGUAAAGCGCACGCAGGCGGUCUGUCAAGUCAGAUGUGAAAUCCCCGGGCUCAACCUAGGAACUGCAUUCGAAACUGGCAGGCUAGAGUCUUGUAGAGGGGGGUAGAAUUCCAGGUGUAGGGGUGAAAUGCGUGGAGAGCUGGAGGAAUACCGGUGGCGAGGGCGGCCCCCUGGACAAAGACUGACGCUCAGGUGCGAAAGCGUGGGGAGCAAACAGG
RNAcentral lists this ribosomal RNA (429 nucleotides) under Chloroflexota bacterium. RNAcentral's name for it is "Chloroflexi bacterium partial 16S ribosomal RNA". It matches the Rfam family "Bacterial small subunit ribosomal RNA", at positions 355 to 776 of the family's 1533-position model. Lineage: Bacteria; Bacillati; Chloroflexota. The record is from RNAcentral.